Linepithema humile (Argentine ant) is the source of this 1014-nucleotide long non-coding RNA. RefSeq lists it as uncharacterized. The record is from RefSeq and is a predicted model, not a curated record. Lineage: Eukaryota; Metazoa; Arthropoda; Insecta; Hymenoptera; Formicidae.
UCCGAAUUCUAGUUUCGAGAAAAAGUUACUAGAACUCGGACCGUGGAAACAGUCAACUUGGAUGAAAAUCUCGAAUAUAAAAGUCAUACGAAAAAAUGCAUCGCGUCCCAUUUUUUGGUGACAGUUACUAAAUUUAUGCAUAUAGAAAAUAUUUAUUUUAGUAAAAGUAACAAUAGAUAACAGAGAGAACGUCAAAACAUUAGUAAUGUUAUACGAGCAACAUCCUUGUCUGUAUGUUACCAAGUCUGCUGAAUAUCAUAAUCGAAAUAAACGUGAUCAAGCACUGCGAACAAUAUGUCGCAAUUACGAAGAAAUAACAAAACUGCCAAUAACAGUUGAUGCAGUAAAGAAAAAAUUAAUAUAUAUAUAUAAUUUGCGAUCUCAGUACUUAGAGCAAAUUAAUAAAAUUCGUCAGUCAAAAGUGAGCGGGGCUUCGGCUGAUGAAGUGUACAAACCCACCUGGUGGUUAUUUGACGAUAUGUCAUUUCUGAGUGUUCAUAUAGCAGCUAGAUCAGGAGAAUCUUCACUGAUACAUAAAAGUCAACCCAAUAUAUCAGACAGUACAAACGUGCUGGAUAUAAUUAAUGAUUCAUCAGUGGAAGAUUUACAAUAUGUAGAUAUGUGUGAUCCUUGUCAAAAACAAUAAUGCUAUUACAGCCGACUGCAAAAAUCGGCGCUCACCUACUUCCUCGAUAAUAUCCACUUUAAGUAGUGCAUCAUCAAGUGGUACACAACGUAAGAAAAAAAAGAGAGAAGCUUCGCCAGAAACAUCAAGUGCGAGAACAGAUUUUUGGAAGACUGCAUCUCAAGCAUUAAUAAAUAUAUCUAAUGAUGAUGAUGACAAUGUUCAGGAUGGAAUGCGUCACUGGACCUUAUAUUUGGAAAGUGAAUUACGUAAGAAAGACAGAAAAAAAUAGAAGAUAAUAUAAUAUAUUAAAGAAUAUUAUAUUAAAAUAUAUAAAGCGUUACCGCGUGGGCACAGGAACCAAUAUAUUAUAACUACAUGUUCUGUUA